Molecule: non-coding RNA, 372 nt
Organism: Danio rerio (zebrafish)
Lineage: Eukaryota; Metazoa; Chordata; Actinopteri; Cypriniformes; Danionidae
Source: Ensembl
GCACGAGGUGUCCUCUCACCAGCAGCAGCUGCCAUCUCCCGAUUCAGAGGUUUGGAAUGCAGUGUAAGUUUUGCAAAUUUGUAAACAGUAGCUGAGAAGUUACACUACAGACUACAUCGCUAUCAAGGACCAUCCUGGCAGCAGCCUUGUUUGUUCGCAGACUGCUUCUGCACUUUCAAGACUCUGAUGUCCGAAAACAGUGGCCUGCAUGUUUUUGGGAGUUUAGGUCUGUGCUGAGUUUUACAGGAUUACUCAAACCAACCUCAAAGAUACCUUCUCUUUUUCGGAUGAAUACGCUAUCAAGUUUUAUGGAUCAUGUGGUGGGCGAUAUGGAGAGACAAUAAGAACCGUCUGGACCAACUGGACAAUCAA